AAUAUUUAAAUUCUAUUAAAAAUAUCACAUGAUAUAAUAAGAGUAAUAUGCAAAAAAAAAGUUAUUUAAAAUAUUUUUUAUAAUACAAAAAAUUCAAUUCACCUCAGCAGCAAGUCAGCAAGCCAUCAUGGCCAAGAUACCACUCAUCCAACCAACUCAAUCCAGUGAAUUUAACUGUCAGGUUGGUUGGGUUACAUUACAGGUCGGUUUGGAGCCAAAUUUAAUCGAAACCGACCCAUGAACAACACUACUAGUUCUAACCCAGAAAUGUGGAACCAAAAACACAAAAGAAGUUGAAAUUAAACUAUAUAAAUAUGAGGUGUGUAUGUGAACAAUGAGACUUUCAGUAAUUGCAAUUUGCAGCUUUUCAAGCAUUUAUAAUUUUGACAUAUAAGAGAUUCUAAAAUUUCAAUAAAACGAUAAGAUCUACAUAUCAUAUCGAUUGUAAAACAAUUAUAUUCAGAACUUUAUUUUCACAUUUCCAUAAGUGAACAGGAUUUCUAGAUUUGCAAAAUUGAUGAAGUGUGACAUCCAAAAUGUCAAAUAUCAGCACAAUUUACCAAAGUAUGCAAAUAAAACAAACAAAUAACAGGACUAUCUGCCAAGAGUAAAAUCAAUAACCUUCGUAUAAUUCAUAAACAAAGCAAAACAAGAAGUUCCAAAAAGAGUAAUCAA
This 675-nucleotide unclassified non-coding RNA is filed under the name Hevea brasiliensis (rubber tree). Lineage: Eukaryota; Viridiplantae; Streptophyta; Magnoliopsida; Malpighiales; Euphorbiaceae. The record is from RNAcentral.